This 299-nucleotide ribosomal RNA is filed under the name uncultured bacterium. Its description in RNAcentral is "partial 16S ribosomal RNA". It matches the Rfam family "Bacterial small subunit ribosomal RNA", at positions 44 to 334 of the family's 1533-position model. The record is from RNAcentral.
GUGCCUGACACAUGCAAGUCGAACGGGUGCUAACUGCCCGCAAGGGUGGCUAGCGCUAGUGGCGGACGGGUGAGUAACACGUGGGCAACCUGCCUGAGAGUGCAGAAUAACCCUGCGAAAGCAGAGCUAAUACUGCAUGUGGUUGUCGGAUGGCAUCAUCUGACAACUAAAGUCGCAAGACGCUCUCAGAUGGGCCCGCGGCCUAUUAGCUAGUUGGUGAGGUAACGGCCCACCAAGGCAAUGAUGGGUAGCUGGUCUGAGAGGACGGACAGCCACACUGGGACUGAGACACGGCCCAG